RNAcentral lists this ribosomal RNA (497 nucleotides) under uncultured bacterium. RNAcentral's name for it is "partial 16S ribosomal RNA". It matches the Rfam family "Bacterial small subunit ribosomal RNA", at positions 28 to 507 of the family's 1533-position model. The record is from RNAcentral.
GACGAACGCUGGCGGCGUGCCUAAUACAUGCAAGUAGAACGCUGAAGAGAGGAGCUUGCUCUUCUUGGAUGAGUUGCGAACGGGUGAGUAACGCGUAGGUAACCUGCCUUGUAGCGGGGGAUAACUAUUGGAAACGAUAGCUAAUACCGCAUAACAAUGGAUGACACAUGUCAUUUAUUUGAAAGGGGCAAUUGCUCCACUACAAGAUGGACCUGCGUUGUAUUAGCUAGUAGGUGAGGUAAUGGCUCACCUAGGCGACGAUACAUAGCCGACCUGAGAGGGUGGUCGGCCACACUGGGACUGAGACACGGCCCAGACUCCUACGGGAGGCAGCAGUAGGGAAUCUUCGGCAAUGGGGGCAACACUGACCGAGCAACGCCGCGUGAGUGAAGAAGGUUUUCGGAUCGUGAAGCUCUGUUGUAAGUCAAGAACGGGUGUGAGAGUGGAAAGUUCACACUGUGACGGUAGCUUACCAGAAAGGGACGGCUAACUACGUG